Molecule: long non-coding RNA, 2345 nt
Filed under: Elaeis guineensis (African oil palm)
Lineage: Eukaryota; Viridiplantae; Streptophyta; Magnoliopsida; Arecales; Arecaceae
Description: long non-coding RNA (EGUI_LNC022168)
Source: RNAcentral
UCACAAUUGAGUUUGCUGCUACUUGGAUUAGUUGCUUGCACUCUCACCUUCUAAUGUUGCUUGACUUAUUCUAGGUUAAGGAAUUAUCAACAGUGAAGUGUCUUAGUAGUUAGUACAACAUUUUUUUAAUCAUGAAAAUUGAAUGUUGGUGACGAAUGCCUUAUAUGAGAAUAGAGGAUCAGAAUUCAACACAGACUGUGGUUAGAGUUGUACGGAUAGUACUGGUGAUGGAAAUCUCUUUGAUUGCUUACAUGGACAACUGCAUCAAACGCCACAGUGGUUAAUAAGAGAAUAAAAGUUUGCUAAAGCAUAUGAAGUUAGAAAGAGUUGUAUGUUUACACUUCUCAAAAAUGUUGCUGUCAGAUUGAGCAGAAGAGGCAUAUGUGAAACCAGGAUUUUCCAGAGAAAUCCAUCUUAAACAUAACCAUAAACAUCAAGCCUGUCCUAACUCCCAACUAUCUGGGUCUGGCUUAAUUUGAAUCUUCAUAGUUUAAUGUGCUUUUUAAUGAGUGGCUAUCAAUCUACUGUCAACCACCACCCCUUUAAUCUGGACUUAUGACCAGCUUCAGUGGUUUCAAAGAAGUCCAUCAUUAACAAGAAAAUUUAGUUUGAGCUGGCAAGGUUAACAAGGAUGAACCAUAUUUAUCCCAUUAAGAGGACAUUCUAAGUAAUAAGGUGUUACAUGGACUGAGAGAAAGUAUUUUAAUUUUUGUGAAAUGUUGAAAAGUGGAGAUAACGAACCAAGGAUUUAAAAGUCAAGGUAUGGACGUGUACCUCUCACUAGCUAGUAUUGUAUGUAUCAGGAUACAGUGCAGCACAUGCUGGAUCAAGUGAACAAUAGAUCAUGGUUUGAAUGGGUGAUAGGGGCAGUUUGGAGCGACAUGGUUUGGUAGAUGCAGUUAGUGCAGGGUCUAGGGCAUGCAAAGGGUAUUUGCACCUGUCCAUGUUUAGUACAUAUGAUGCUCUUAAUCCUUGUAACAGACCAUUGACCAUAGUCAUUUGUGUCUUGACUACAAAAGCCAGCAAUGAAACUUACUCCAGUAAAAAUAAGCUGUCCAUUUCUAUCUGAUUCAGUCAGGUAAGUGAUGGCUGAGAAUUAAGGAAAAUUUGAUACAUGGAAUGGUAAGGAGACAUGAAAUAACCUUGUUAGGUUCAGGAAAGGCAGAAAAUGAAGGGCAAUUUGGGGCUGAAAUUUUAAACUAAAUGAUCUGAUAGUAGCAUUGCAUUGUUUACAGGCAUAACAUGAUCUGUACUAAGACAUCUUGGAUUAAAAUUUUCCUUUCCUUCUUCCCCAAGUAUGUUUGAGCUUACUGAGUUAUUCAAGGAUUCUCCAAUCACUCAAGAAAAUGUUGCUAGGUUAGUAAGUGGGUCCAAUUGUUGAAGCAUAAUUUCUGGUAGAAUAAAGAUUUAUUGCCUUGCUAGAUGCAUGGCAUUGUAUAUCACUAGAUAUUGAAUUGUAUAAGAAAUAAUGUGGGUUUUCUUUUUAUCUGUUUGAAUCUUUGAAUUAAGAUUGGUGCAUUUGAUUGUUUAGAAUUUGGAUUAUAUAUAUCAAUAGUCUAUAUUGCUAUUAGGUUUUAUCCCUUGUAUAUCUUUACAUAUGCAAGUAAGCAAGGUUAUGUCCACAAUAGGCUAUGAUGAAUUAUCGAAUGAUCAACAUCUUCCAUUGUGAACAUAGUUUGUGUGAUACUAAGAUAUCUUGAUGAGGUAUUGUUUGAGAGCUUGGUUUUAGACAUUCAACAUGCUCUAGAAAACAGUUGAGACCCUUUGAUGAUUUGCUUGAUUCUCUCUGUUACCUUUGGUAAUAAGGGUUUAAGUCUUGAUAUAGGGCUGGGUAUUGUUCUAGGGCCAGGUCAGACACUACCAAGGUGCUCUUAUUCUAACACUUGGGAAAGGUUGGCAUCUAAGUGAUUCAUUUUGAUGUCCUUUUCUUUUUUUUAAAAAAAAAUUGUUUAGAGGUUUUUAGAGUUGCUUGUCAAAAUUUUGGUUAGGUCUUUUGAGCCAAUGAUUGGGUCCAUGCCUCUAUGGUGCCUAUAUUGGUAAUGGCACCAGUGGUUUGGAAAAAAAUAAAAAAAUAACAAUAAAUUUAAAUGAAACAUCAACAGUCAAUCAUAUCAUGAGGUAAACAAUCAUGAAUUUAAGUAAAAAAACAAGAAAGCCUCUAAACAGCCAUCAAAAAUUAAAAAGAAGACAAAGGGGCAUCCUAGUGAAAAACAGGAUGCCAGCCUAUUCCAAUUGUUGGGACACAUCAAUCCUGAUCUAUCCCUGGCGAGGAUGGAACAGGACAGAUUGGGAUGGCCUAGUUUGGAGAUACCUAGGGUCUUUCCCCUAUCCCAAGAACCUCUCUC